ACUAAUUUAGCAAAAUAUAAUGUAUCAAUUUUAGAAUUUGAGGAUGGAUUUCCAGUUAGUG
RNAcentral lists this transfer RNA (61 nucleotides) under Ixodes myrmecobii. RNAcentral's name for it is "tRNA-Leu". The record is from RNAcentral. Lineage: Eukaryota; Metazoa; Arthropoda; Arachnida; Ixodida; Ixodidae.